Haliotis rubra (blacklip abalone) is the source of this 129-nucleotide long non-coding RNA. RefSeq lists it as uncharacterized. The record is from RefSeq and is a predicted model, not a curated record. Lineage: Eukaryota; Metazoa; Mollusca; Gastropoda; Lepetellida; Haliotidae. The transcript is spliced from 3 exons.
GUUCACAAGUCACUAAGGUGUUUACAAGUCACUAAGAUAACCUUAGUGCAGUGUUAAAGAAUGAGAGUUGAGGUUAACCUCAGUAAAGGUUGUUUCGUGAAAGGAGCUCGGAAUGUACAAGAUUUGUGG